Molecule: long non-coding RNA, 573 nt
Organism: Haliotis rubra (blacklip abalone)
Lineage: Eukaryota; Metazoa; Mollusca; Gastropoda; Lepetellida; Haliotidae
Exons: 3
Source: RefSeq, a predicted model, not a curated record
UUCCAAAUGAACACCCACCCUAUGCGGGCUUUCAAACACUUUAACACUGGUUUUGCUUCGCUAUCUCACGUGAUCCCUCCUACUCGUGAAUAUUUCACAUAAUCUAGAUCAACCUUCAAUCUCCAGGUUGUGUGCAGCUCCAUGUACUGCCACCCUCCAUAUAUGUGUUGACGGAGUUACGACACAGAAACAUGACAACCAUCUGGACAAUGGCAGCUGUGGUCAGUCUCUUGGUGAUGAUCUUGUGUGUGGGACUGGUCACAAGCUCUGUGGUGCCUGGCCCUGUGGAAGUUGCACAGGACAGAGAUCGAGAUAAACGCUCGCCAAGUGCAUCCUGUGGAUUACUACCCUGGUAUUGUGCCUACAUAAAACGACUUCAACAAUUCGCCUUCUGGGCAGAGUUUUAUAAGAAAAUCUGCCAUUCCGUGUGUACUGCAUCUGGAUAACGACAGCAACACCAAAUUCAACCGUGAGGAAGACAAUGUCUGUUCUUUGUUAACAUGCACAAGCAUUGUUACUUGUGAAUUCGUCUGUCUCUCUGCAGGAAAAUGGAACAUAAACGAUAACAUGAGA